CCUACGGGAGGCAGCAGUGGGGAAUAUUGCACAAUGGGGGAAACCCUGAUGCAGCGACGCCGCGUGAGUGAAGAAGUAUUUCGGUAUGUAAAGCUCUAUCAGCAGGGAAGAAACCCACCCUCCGGGGUGGCUGACGGUACCUGACUAAGAAGCCCCGGCUAACUACGUGCCAGCAGCCGCGGUAAUACGUAGGGGGCAAGCGUUAUCCGGAUUUACUGGGUGUAAAGGGAGCGUAGGUGGCAAGGCAAGUCAGAUGUGAAAACCCGGGGCCCAACCCCGGGAGUGCAUUUGAAACUGGCUGGCUAGAGUGCAGGAGAGGUAAGUGGAAUUCCUAGUGUAGCGGUGAAAUGCAUAGAUAGUAGGAGGAACACCAGUGGCGAAGGCGGCUUACUGGACCGUAACUGACACUGAGGCUCGAAAGCGUGGGGAGCAAACAGGAUUAGAUACCCUUGUAGUC
Molecule: ribosomal RNA, 457 nt
Filed under: uncultured bacterium
Lineage: Bacteria
Description: partial 16S ribosomal RNA
Rfam family: Bacterial small subunit ribosomal RNA
Source: RNAcentral